CCUGGUGACCACGGCGGAGGGGAACCACCCGAUUCCAUUCCGAACUCGGAAGUUAAGACCUCCAGCGCCGAUGAUACUGCAAGU
Molecule: ribosomal RNA, 84 nt
Filed under: Desulfomicrobium apsheronum
Lineage: Bacteria; Pseudomonadati; Thermodesulfobacteriota; Desulfovibrionia; Desulfovibrionales; Desulfomicrobiaceae
Also listed under: 1 other name
Source: RNAcentral